AUAAAUUAAGUACCAAAUCCAAAAGCAAAAAUAUUAGUUACAAGCCAAGUAUUUAAAAUAAAUAAAGUAACAAACCCAAAAGCAAAAAAAUUAGUUACAAUCCAAAGUUUUAAUAAUUAAGUUUCAAACCAAAAGCAAAAAAACAAAGUUUCAAGUUUAUGAAGAUUGUUGACCUCUUCGGCCCCUUCGGCCCCUUCUUGUUGGCACUUGUAAUUUUCCCCUUGAUGUUGAUGGUUGAGCCCUUCCCCUUACAAUGGGUGGUCGUGGUCGUGGAGGUAGUGAUUGAUUUUGACGUUGUUGAACUUGUACUUGAGGUGGUCGAGGAGGUGGAGGUGGCAUUUCAUUUUCUUGUGUUGUAUUCUCCUCACCUCCCAAAUUA
Molecule: long non-coding RNA, 379 nt
Filed under: Malus domestica (apple)
Lineage: Eukaryota; Viridiplantae; Streptophyta; Magnoliopsida; Rosales; Rosaceae
Description: long non-coding RNA (MDOM_LNC002769)
Source: RNAcentral